This 48-nucleotide non-coding RNA is filed under the name Lactiplantibacillus plantarum WCFS1. Lineage: Bacteria; Bacillati; Bacillota; Bacilli; Lactobacillales; Lactobacillaceae. The record is from RNAcentral. RNAcentral also lists the same sequence under 1 other name.
GGUUGAAGGACACUUCAAGAAUUCGGACUACUUUUGGGUUGGGUAGUC